Cygnus olor (mute swan) is the source of this 936-nucleotide long non-coding RNA. RefSeq lists it as uncharacterized. The transcript has 3 exons. Lineage: Eukaryota; Metazoa; Chordata; Aves; Anseriformes; Anatidae. The record is from RefSeq and is a predicted model, not a curated record.
AGGAAAUUGUUGCCAGAGGGAAGACCACAAAGAGGAAUAAUUUCUGGGUUUUGAUUCUCUCUCUUAGAUCACAAUGCCAUGAGUAAAUUUUGGUGGUGGAUGAAGGAUGUUCCACCAAAGUCAUUAUUUCUGGAAGGAUGAUAUCAAAGAGGAAUUCAAAGCAAGUUGUUUCAUGUAAACUGCUUUCUGGACUGUCUUGGCUUGCUUCACUCUGAGCCAUCCCACAGCUAUUCAAGCACUGGUGCAUCGUAUCCCUGAACAGGCUGACAUGCUGUGAUGCUGUGGGAUAACAAUGCAAAAUGCCUGCACGAUUAGAAGCUGGCUUGUUGCCAAGUGCAGGUCCAUGAUGUUUGUACAGAUUCAAGGCGUGGGAUUUCCAGAUGGGAGUGCAGUGGUGGAGCAGCACUCCAUGGAUGGGAUAAGUGCCCUCAUUAUUCACAAUCUGGACAGGAUAAACGCCUUCAUUAUUCAUAUGUGGGCCCAUAGUAUAUUGAAGAAAACAUGUAUCUUUACUGUUUACUCAGCCACAGUGCAGCACUUUAUCAAGUUUAAUGUCACUGAAUUAAAUAUGCAACCCUAUAACCAUUUAAACUUUUUUCAGGUUGCUUAUAUUAUAUUGGUGGGUGAAAAUAGAGUGACCUAUUAUAUUACCAAGGCAAAGGUCAUGUCAGUGUGGGAUUUAGGUCUUUUGGUGUGUGUGUUUGUUGGUGGUGAAUCAGAUAUGAUCAGAUUAAAUUACUCUUGAACAUAACCAAAUGUUUAAAGAAACUGCCGUGCCAUACAUUUGAUUAUUUUUUAUUUUAAUCAUGUUCUAAUCUGAAGGCCAAAAUUGAAGUAAUACAAAUGAAACUACACCUUUUGAAUUUAAGAUACACUAGAAAAGCAAAAUACAAAUAUUUUGAAAGGUUGUAAGAGGUGAAGGACAUUUAUUUUUUU